Mycena latifolia is the source of this 95-nucleotide non-coding RNA. The record is from the annotation of a GenBank genome assembly. NCBI's taxonomy places the organism in Eukaryota, Fungi, Basidiomycota, Agaricomycetes, Agaricales, Mycenaceae.
GGCUUGUUGGUGUAAUGGUAAUGCGCUCUGUGGCGAUCUAAUGCAUUUGUAUAUCGUUUGACGGAAAGUCCAGAGUUUGAUUCUCCGUCAAGCCA